Molecule: ribosomal RNA, 530 nt
Filed under: Streptomyces sp. 327(2010)
Lineage: Bacteria; Bacillati; Actinomycetota; Actinomycetes; Kitasatosporales; Streptomycetaceae
Description: bacterial SSU rRNA
Rfam family: Bacterial small subunit ribosomal RNA
Source: RNAcentral
ACUGCAGUCGAACGAUGAACCACUUCGGUGGGGAUUAGUGGCGAACGGGUGAGUAACACGUGGGCAAUCUGCCCUGCACUCUGGGACAAGCCCUGGAAACGGGGUCUAAUACCGGAUACUGACCCGCUUGGGCAUCCAAGCGGUUCGAAAGCUCCGGCGGUGCAGGAUGAGCCCGCGGCCUAUCAGCUUGUUGGUGAGGUAAUGGCUCACCAAGGCGACGACGGGUAGCCGGCCUGAGAGGGCGACCGGCCACACUGGGACUGAGACACGGCCCAGACUCCUACGGGAGGCAGCAGUGGGGAAUAUUGCACAAUGGGCGAAAGCCUGAUGCAGCGACGCCGCGUGAGGGAUGACGGCCUUCGGGUUGUAAACCUCUUUCAGCAGGGAAGAAGCGAAAGUGACGGUACCUGCAGAAGAAGCGCCGGCUAACUACGUGCCAGCAGCCGCGGUAAUACGUAGGGCGCGAUCGUUGUCCGGAAUUAUUGGGCGUAAAGAGCUCGCACGUGGCUUUUCACGCCGGAUGUGAAACC